GGUGAAAAGAACAAAGUUUUGUCCAUCUUUGUUCAUCAUAGCUGAAAGUUAGAGAAGAGAAAAGAGAUGAGAAAGCUCUUGAGUAUUCAGUCAUUAGGAGGAGGAAAAUUGAAGGUAAGUUCUUGGUACCUUGAUUCUAUUUUGAGGUUCAUGAGUUCUUCUUGAUUCUACCUUAACUCUUGAAGUAUAUUUUGAUUUUUAGUUGUGUUGUGAGCAUUUAGUCAUGAAUUAAAAUGAAGGAAAUGGUUGUUGUUUCAUGUUCUUUUGAUGAAAAAUGGAAGAUAGGUGAAGUUGAGUCAAACAAAUGAGCAUGCAUGUGCCUUAGAUGUUAAAGGGAAAAAUCAGCUAACAUGUUGUGUUUUAAAAUGAUGAAAUGGAAAUUAUACUUAAGUAAAAUCAUAGAUAUGUGAUGAUUGAUUGGUGAUAUACAUGUUUAAAUAACAUGCAUGCAAGGUAUGUGUGAAAGAGUGAUUUGGUAAUAAAUCUGCUUGGGACAGCAGCAGUAACGUGACUUUGGAAAAUCACCAUAAAUUGUGGGAGAAGAAUUAGAAGCUGAAUAAAUUAUGUAAUUAAAGCUUAUUAAGUCUAGUUUCUAAUGAAAUAAACAAGAACAUAUUUUGGAUUCUGUACAAUGAGAAAUUUGAUUCGUAAUGAAGGGUGGUCAGAUUAGUCAAACAGAGAAACAUGGGAAAAUUUGAGAAAAUUCUGGUAUUGAUUGGCUAAACCAAAAAUUCUGAAAAUUUUAUGGAUAGAAGAUAUAUGAGUCUAUUUUCAGGGAAAAGUAACGGCACUUGAUUUGGAGUUUCGUAGCUCUAGUUAUAAAUAAUUUAGUGACUGUUGCUCAGGAAGACAGCUUGCAGUGAAAUUAUGAUUAUGUGGUAAACAUUGACAAAAAUUUGUUAAUGAGUUGCUUAUUGAUUUCUUAUAAGCUUACUAUGAUCUGUAGGUGUGGUUGGCCGAAUAUUGUAAGGGGUUAAUACGUAGUUUGUAUUUGAAUAGUUAGAUUAACGUGUUAGUAAUCCAAUUGUAGGCGGUUCGUGUGUGGAUCUCGUCAGCAUAUCGUCGCAAACAGGUGUGUAACUGACACCCUCUCAUAGACUAGAUUGGCAAAAGCCGAAAAGCCGAAAAGUCGGUAUUUUGGGAAUUUACGAGUGUGCGAAUGCUCGUAAGAUAGUUGGGUUUGUAUAUCUGGUAAUCUAAAGUAAUAAACUGCAGUACGCGCGAUUUCGUACAUUUUGAUAAUUUGGGCUUAAUGGGCCAAAGAUCGGGUUCAUGGGCCAACGGGCCCAAUUCAGUAAGUAUGUGCGGUAAGUGUUCUGAUAGUACGUAAAUAGUUUGGAUAUGCAUGAAAACCCUAAAAGUAGCUAAAUUACUAUAAUACCCCUAUGUAUGGAAAAUUACUGUUAUACCCCUAGGUGCAAAAUUACCGUUAUACCCCUAGGGUUAAUUUUGACUGAAAAGCAUGACGAUCUGAUUCUGUAUGAUGUAUGCCAUGAUUAUAUAUCUGUUGCAUGGGGACAUGGGUUAUAUUAUGGAGGAAGCGUUCUGGUGGCUAUGCCACAAAUAUCUGACCUAGUGGCUCUACCACAAAUAUCUGAUCUGGUGGCUCUGCCACAUAUAUUUGUUCUGGUGGCUCUGCCACGAUUAUCUGUAUCUGGUGACUCUGUCACAUUAUCUGUUCUGGCAGCCAUGCUGCAAAUUCUGUGGUGUGUAGCGGUUGGGUGGGUCGAGUUGUCUCCCCACACGGUGUAAGGUUGGUAUGGGGGUGUAUACGGUUGGAUAUGGUUGGGUUUCUGCAUAAACAUGUAAUAUCUGUUCUGUUCUGCUAUGGGCCUAUGGGCUUUAUUCUGAAUUCUAUUCUGGGCUCAGGCCAACUUAUUCUAUUUCUGUGGUUUGAGCUGAUAUAGGCUAUGGUUGGGUUAAUUUACACACUGAGUUUUCCCCAAACUCACCCUUUUUAUUUUCAUCCACGCAGGUAAUCCCCAACCAUAGUGGGCUUGGAGCUGUGAGGGAAUUCGGAGUGGCCACCCAUUCUGAAAGUUUGAUUUUCUUCUGGUGAACUGAACAUCCUUUUAUUUACGUUUGAUGUUUUGGGUUUUUAAAUGUAAUAAGGCCGCUUAAUUAUUUUUGAUGGUUUUAAUAUGUAUUACUAAGAUAUGUAUUACUUAUUUUAACUGUUGAAAUUGGAUAGCUUUAGGGCACGUUUCCAAAAACAACAAUUGAUUUCAAAAUAACACGACAACAAGCAAA
This 2250-nucleotide long non-coding RNA is filed under the name Gossypium barbadense (sea-island cotton). RNAcentral describes it as "long non-coding RNA (GBAR_LNC023465)". The record is from RNAcentral. Lineage: Eukaryota; Viridiplantae; Streptophyta; Magnoliopsida; Malvales; Malvaceae.